This 73-nucleotide transfer RNA is filed under the name Planctomycetota bacterium. RNAcentral's name for it is "Planctomycetes bacterium (activated sludge metagenome) tRNA-His". It matches the Rfam family "tRNA". From Rfam's summary of the family: Transfer RNA (tRNA) molecules are approximately 80 nucleotides in length. Their secondary structure includes four short double-helical elements and three loops (D, anti-codon, and T loops). Further hydrogen bonds mediate the characteristic L-shaped molecular structure. tRNAs have two regions of fundamental functional importance: the anti-codon, which is responsible for specific mRNA codon recognition, and the 3' end, to which the tRNAs corresponding amino acid is attached (by aminoacyl-tRNA synthetases). tRNAs cope with the degeneracy of the genetic code in two manners: having more than one tRNA (with a specific anti-codon) for a particular amino acid; and 'wobble' base-pairing, i.e. permitting non-standard base-pairing at the 3rd anti-codon position. Lineage: Bacteria; Pseudomonadati; Planctomycetota. The record is from RNAcentral.
GUGUUCGUGGUGUAACGGCUGGCAUGCGACACUGUGAAUGUCGAGGCGGCGGGUUCGAUUCCCCCCGGACACC